Cyprinus carpio (common carp) is the source of this 2378-nucleotide long non-coding RNA. RefSeq lists it as uncharacterized. NCBI's taxonomy places the organism in Eukaryota, Metazoa, Chordata, Actinopteri, Cypriniformes, Cyprinidae. The record is from RefSeq and is a predicted model, not a curated record.
AAAAAAAAAAAAAAAAAAAACAUCUCAGGGAUUUGUUGACUAAAUGGCAAAAGGGGUGUUUCAUACUGCAGCUGGCAAAAAACACCAAUUUACAGACAGAGAUAUGUGAUCACAGUUUUCUUAGGGAAAGGUUAUCUGAGAUACCAUCUCAAAUAUAUUACCAAAAAUUGCUUUUUAGUUUUACUAUUUACUAAAUCAUUUCUAACUGCAUCUGAUAAGAAGAGAGACUCAGUCAAGUGAACCAUUAAGAGAAACAUAAGCUGAAAGGACCUUGAACAUUAAACAUGUGCUGCAUCCUUGAAAGGCUGAUAUGAAUUAGCGUCCUGUACUGUAAAAAAAAAAAAAAAUAGAUACUUGAUUCUCUGCUCUGAUGCACAUUCUAUACUUGUGAGUAGAUCAGCACCAUUAUUUAAAGAAGCAAAAAGAGAAGUUCCUGUGGUAAGUCAUUUUCAGAAAACCAACGGAAAUCCCCACAUCAAAACAGAGAAGAAAAGAGGACAAUGCCAAAAGCAUUGCAGAGGCAAAAUGCCCAACCAGAUUUUGCACAGACGUCUUAGAGCUGAUCACACAAGUUGUACUAUUACACAACUUUUCUCAUUUAAACGUUUCCACAUAAGCAAAAGAGGGCACAUCUUCCGCUGUCGUUGAGAAAUCCCCAUUCUUUCCAAAUGACCUUUAGUUGAAAAGGGUGUGCUCAUAUUGUCACUCUUUAAUAUUUAAUACACCCAUAUUAACUUGAUAUUUAUCCUGAAAAAAAAAAAACAUUUAUUCUUUCAUUGCCAAAUAAACAUUUUUUCUCAAAGAAUAAAGUUCCAAUAGCAGCACGUCAUUUAUGAUCAUUUUAUGCAAAUGAUCAGCGUCAUGAUGAUUUUAUAACUGACACCAGAAAAACAAAACAGAAACUAAAUUUGUGAUAUGCAAAGCACACAUUUUGAUUUUUUUUUAAUAAUUACAAGAGGACAAGAGGCAUUGCAUAUUCACAUUAUUAUAUUAACAUUAGAGAAAACAGAAAAGAAAAAAAGAAAGGAAGGAAGAAAAAUAAAUUUCAAAGCUAAUUCAAAGCAUUAUGUUUUCAGCACUUUUUUUGGUUUUAGUUUGUACCAAGAGAUUUACAUAUUAUUUCAAGUCAUUUAUAAAAUGUUAUGUCAAUAAUGAAAACUGAAGAGACCUCCUCUUGACGUCAGAUACCGCAGGAGGCGCAGCUCCUUUUCUGUCUCGCGCUCAGCCAACGCGCUCACUCGAGGGACAGUAGAACUGCAUGGGUUUCGCGUUUUCUUCGAUGAACCCACUGUACAUUUAUGCCAUGUUAAAUAUAUACAUGGCACUAAAUGUUUUAAAGAGUUCGAUACACCUGGGGGUUUGUGGAAUGGCUUUGGGAAGUUUCUGAUUGGCCACUAAAAAGGGCAAAAUGCACUCAGAGAGAUGACACGAAUAUCAGCCGGGAUUCUGUCUCCACUUUUGACCUCCACAAGAUCACCUACAACUACUUCCUCAGCGUCGAUGAUCUUUUUCUCUCCAUCACGCACAACCAGGGCUUUCUACAUGACAAUAAAUGUACAUAAACAUGAAUAUCCUUUGUAAAAGCUGUUUUUGGCAUAAAGAGAAAUUAUAUUUUUAUACCUGAGGAACAAUGUUCUUGAAAGAAUCCAUGAUUUUAUAGCUUUUGGCCUCUUGAUAGUAUGAGAAACAUCCAUUGACUGUGACAACAAAAGCAAGCACAAGUCCCAUUUAUACCCUGGCAUCUCACCUGUGUAAUGAGGUGGUGUUCCUUUUAAUUUAGAAAGGAGUUUGUCAGGUGUCAUUUAGUUUUAACAUUUAUUUAACCUUCGUUUAUACAGGUAGGUCAUUUCUGUGACACCCAGGUGAAGGACUGGUCUAUUAACUAUUGUCUUGUCAACAGAUCUAUGGCUUUGGUUUGUAUCACUUCUUACAAUAUGUAUAUAUAUUUUUUUACAUGGGGAAUAAAAAAUGACUGUGUAAAUUGUUCUGUGGCACCGAUAUCUAUUGAAUCAGUCUGCAUCUGUUCAUUGACAUCAUUACAAGUUAAAAUGUGCACUUUGAAUAUAGGACCUUGUGAAUGUUAAUGAUGAAAAAGAUUGAUCUGUUGUCAGUAAAUAGACUGUCUCUGCCUCCAUGUCUUUCACAGUGCCUUAAAGUUUAGUCCACAUUUAUGCCUCCAGCAGCGUCACACAGAUGUGGGUGCCACAAACAUCAGUUUGCAGGUCUAAUGAUUUCUCUCUUGAGUUUGCAUUGAUUUCUAAAACCCCUCUGGUCUGUUUAUGUAGACCUAUGUCCCACACCUAAAUAAUCAAUGAAAAAUGCACUUGUCAUUUCUUUGUGAAAUUUUUCUAAUAAAUUUUGAACAGUUUCAAAGUAAA